RNAcentral lists this ribosomal RNA (619 nucleotides) under Laccaria anglica. Its description in RNAcentral is "eukaryotic LSU rRNA". The stretch from base 251 to 404 matches the Rfam family "5.8S ribosomal RNA". RNAcentral also lists the same sequence under 1 other name. Lineage: Eukaryota; Fungi; Basidiomycota; Agaricomycetes; Agaricales; Hydnangiaceae. The record is from RNAcentral.
AGGAUCAUUAUUGAAUAAACCUGAUGUGACUGUUAGCUGGCUUUUCGAAGCAUGUGCUCGUCCGUCAUCUUUAAUCUCUCCACCUGUGCACAUUUUGUAGUCUUGGAUACCUCUCGAGGCAACUCGGAUUUUAGGAUCGCCGUGCUGUACAAGUCGACUUUUCUUUCAUUUCCAAGACUAUGUUUUUAUAUACACCAAAGUAUGUUUAAAGAAUGUCAUCAAUAGGAACUUGUUUCCUAUAAAAUUAUACAACUUUCAGCAACGGAUCUCUUGGCUCUCGCAUCGAUGAAGAACGCAGCGAAAUGCGAUAAGUAAUGUGAAUUGCAGAAUUCAGUGAAUCAUCGAAUCUUUGAACGCACCUUGCGCUCCUUGGUAUUCCGAGGAGCAUGCCUGUUUGAGUGUCAUUAAAUUCUCAACCUUCCAUGUUUUAUUAGCAUGGUUAGGCUUGGAUGUGGGGGUUGCGGGCUUCAUCAAUGAUGUCAGCUCUCCUUAAAUGCAUUAGCGGAACUUUUGUGGACCGUCUAUUGGUGUGAUAGUUAUCUACGCCGUGGAUGUGAUGCAGCUUUAUGAAGUUCAGCUUCUAACCGUCCAUUGACUUGGACAAUUUUGACAAUUUGAC